This 931-nucleotide ribosomal RNA is filed under the name uncultured bacterium. Its description in RNAcentral is "partial 16S ribosomal RNA". It matches the Rfam family "Bacterial small subunit ribosomal RNA", at positions 1 to 913 of the family's 1533-position model. The record is from RNAcentral.
AUAUCUGCAGAAUUUCGCCCUUAGAGUUUGAUCCUGGCUCAGGAUGAACGCUGGCGGCGUGCCUAACACAUGCAAGUCGAACGGAGUUCUUAAGGAAUGCGACUUCGGUCAAAUGACUUUUGAACUUAGUGGCGGACGGGUGAGUAACGCGUGAGCAACCUGCCUUUCAGAGGGGGAUAACAUUUGGAAACAGAUGCUAAUACCGCAUAAGAUUACAGUACCGCAUGAUACAGUGAUCAAAGGAGCAAUCCGCUGAAAGAUGGGCUCGCGUCCGAUUAGAUAGUUGGUGGGGUAACGGCCUACCAAGUCGACGAUCGGUAGCCGGACUGAGAGGUCGAACGGCCACAUUGGGACUGAGACACGGCCCAGACUCCUACGGGAGGCAGCAGUGGGGGAUAUUGCACAAUGGGGGAAACCCUGAUGCAGCGACGCCGCGUGAGGGAAGACGGUCCUCUGGAUUGUAAACCUCUGUCUUCGGGGACGAAACGAGACGGUACCCGAGGAGGAAGCCACGGCUAACUACGUGCCAGCAGCCGCGGUAAUACGUAGGUGGCAAGCGUUGUCCGGAAUUACUGGGUGUAAAGGGAGCGUAGGCGGGCAGGCAAGUCAGGCGUGAAAUAUAUCGGCUCAACCGGUAACGGCGCUUGAAACUGCAGGUCUUGAGUGAAGUAGAGGUUGGCGGAAUUCCUAGUGUAGCGGUGAAAUGCGUAGAUAUUAGGAGGAACACCAGUGGCGAAGGCGGCCAACUGGGCUUUUACUGACGCUGAGGCUCGAAAGUGUGGGGAGCAAACAGGAUUAGAUACCCUGGUAGUCCACACCGUAAACGAUGAUUACUAGGUGUGGGGGGACUGACCCCUUCCGUGCCGGAGUUAACACAAUAAGUAAUCCACCUGGGGAGCACGGCCGCAAGGUUGAAACUCAAAUGAAUUGA